UGAAGAGACCCUCCUGUUUCCUAGUCCAGGGGAGCAAGCGGGCAGACUGUUGUUCUCAUCAGACUUGGUCAGUGGAGAUUCAGCUGCCCUUCCCUGCGGAAGGCCCUCCCAUAUCAACAUCACUGUGGAAAAGGGACUUGCUUGUUCCUACAGAUUCCCUCACACGCACAGCACAGGGGAGCAUUACUCUCUCCGGGUAUCCCUUACUGCUUUAGUCAAUCCGGGUGCUCUGUUUGAAAUCCAGCACGUGAGAAGGUCUGGGUAAAGUUGCUGGGAUGGAAGAAAACCUUGGUAUUGACUUAAGACGGUGGUGUGCCAGAGCCAGCUCAUACUGGAGGGAGAGUGAGACAGAGAGAGACACAGACAGAGAGAAUUGCUAAAUUCCCAGGAAUUUCACUAACCAGUUGAUAUCAUGCUGAUAUCUUGACAUUGGCAAUGGUUGGCAGUACUCACCCCCUGAAAAUUGGUCACUGCUGCAACUGAGACCUCUUCUUUCCUUCCAGGGUGCUUGUUGUUAAAUAUUUACCAACACACCCCUAACUUAAGGUUGCAUUCAAGUGUGGAAUUCACGAUUUUGCUGGUGCUUUCUGAAUUAUAUCCUUUUCUCCUCCUCCCAAGGUGCCUUUGAAUCCCACCCCAUCUGCUCUUUGUGUGUACUUCUGGAGAAAUCCUAGUGUUAGGUUCACAGAAGUCAAAGCAAUAGAUUGUUUGUUUGUACAAAGCCUUUCUAUUGUUUGAAGUGAUUUCACAGCCGGUUCUUCAUUUUGAUCUGCACCACAACCCUGAGAAGGACAGAGUUCAUACUCUUAUUUCCAUUUUGCAGAUGGGAAACCUGUAGUUCUGAGUGGAUCUAUGGGAACGAUGGGGCAAGGGAGACCCCGGACCCCCCGCCGUCACUCAGACUCUCUGGCCUGAGAUCCGAACACAGUUCCACGAGGGGAAUCGAUCAGUGCUAGCUCAUCCCACAGGCCGAGACGUGAGCUGCCCAUCCGCAGGAGAGUUGCAUUUCUCCUGGCCCCCCGAGAAGAAGAGCCCCUCCACUCCGGAGUACUCAGAGACCACACAGCAGACCUCCCUGCCACCUGCUUUUCUCAUAGUCCUUGGACUUCUCAAGACCACAAGAAGCACACACAGCAGGAAACUGCUUAGCAACUGCACGUAGGAAAUUAGGAAUCCAAAACAUUACUGCGAGUUUCUUCUUCCCUACUUCGUUCUCCUGUGUCGUUUUCGGUUGUUCGCGAUUCAGUCAUUGUUCCAUCACACGACACACUAACUGGUUCUGCAGGGUCCGGGACGGGAGCUGCACGGAGGCCCUGCUUGCCUUCCAGGGGGGCU
This 1335-nucleotide long non-coding RNA is filed under the name Felis catus (domestic cat). Its description in RNAcentral is "lncRNA (ENSFCAG00000053731.1)". Lineage: Eukaryota; Metazoa; Chordata; Mammalia; Carnivora; Felidae. The record is from RNAcentral.